GGUCCUGGAGAAAUAUCCUAAUACACCUAUGAGCCAUAAAGAAAUUCUUCAAGUUAUCCAGAAAGAAGGACUUAAAGAAAUCAGAAGUGGGACUUCUCCUCUUGCAUGCCUGAAUGCUAUGUUACAUACAAACUCCCGAGGGGAAGAGGGCAUUUUCUAUAAGGUCCCGGGGCGGAUGGGAGUGUACACG
This is a non-coding RNA of Tinamus guttatus (white-throated tinamou), 190 nucleotides long. The record is from RefSeq and is a predicted model, not a curated record. NCBI's taxonomy places the organism in Eukaryota, Metazoa, Chordata, Aves, Tinamiformes, Tinamidae.